AUGCAUUGUGCUGUGCAUUUAAACUUUUUGUACUGUUCUCUGAUUUCCAUAGAUAAAGAGCUAGACAUUACCUUUGAAGAAAUUCUGAUCUUCGCAACGGGAGCUGAUUCUGUACUCCCUCUCGGUUUUCCACGAGAGUGUGAGAUCCAGUUCUAUGAUCAAGAGCCAGGAAGCCAGCAGAUUCCUUACUCCUCAACCUGUGCCCUUGUUCUGUAUUUGCCCAGAGGAAAAUAUGUGAAGAAUGGGCUAUGUGAAGAAAUCGAGAACCUUUUAUGUCUACCGGCCAGUGAUGAUUCUGAAAGAACAUACCUGGAAUCUGUUGCUACAGUAACGAACGCAAAUUCAUGCUCAUGCGUGAUUUUAUUUCAGUGCAGUUGUUAAGAUUGUGGUUAUUUCAGCAAACAGUUUUACAUAUUUUAACAGUGUUUAGAUAAACUUUUCUAUAUCAUUCAAUGGUACUAUUUAGAGAUCAAUGAUACACACACAUUUUAGACACUUAUUAGGCUAACUUGAUAUGACAGGUUGGAAAACAUCACGUUGACUCUAAAACCUGAUGCGAAAAUGUCAGUCAUUGCAGUCAAAUAUUGAGAUGAACUUUAUAAAGUAUCAUCUAUUUAUAUUAAAUUAAUAUGUUAAAUUGGUAUCUUCUCCUAUACCCAUUUUGUGAUCAUUUUGUUUUCAAUCAGCUGAAAUGAUUCGGGACAUCCACAUUUAACUUGAAAAAGGCAUAACGUGGCUUAAUGCUUUAAAACUGCAUUUUAAAAAGACCAAAACAUUAGGCAUAUAUAAAUAAAGCAUUCUAUUCACAGACA
This is a long non-coding RNA of Cyprinus carpio (common carp), 812 nucleotides long. NCBI's taxonomy places the organism in Eukaryota, Metazoa, Chordata, Actinopteri, Cypriniformes, Cyprinidae. The record is from Ensembl.